UUCUUAUCAAGAGAAGCUGAGGGACUGGCCCUGUGAAGCUUCAGCAACCUCUGACUUUGUCAGGAAGGUGCUAAUUCCAGCGGGAGUAAUUCUUGGGAGAUAAGAG
Molecule: non-coding RNA, 106 nt
Filed under: Virgibacillus sp.
Lineage: Bacteria; Bacillati; Bacillota; Bacilli; Caryophanales; Bacillaceae
Also listed under: 1 other name
Description: SAM-I sequence
Rfam family: SAM riboswitch aptamer (S box leader)
About the family: The SAM riboswitch is found upstream of a number of genes which code for proteins involved in methionine or cysteine biosynthesis in Gram-positive bacteria. The SAM riboswitch acts at the level of transcription termination control. The predicted structure consists of a complex stem-loop region followed by a single stem loop terminator region.
Source: RNAcentral